AUGAUAAAGAUGAAGAUUAAGAAGCUGAUGCUCAGGGAUGCUGAAUCCAGGAGGAGCUCUGCUUGUAAGAUGAUCAGAACGCUGGUUUCACUUGUGAGGACUUUGGACCAAAUGCCAAAGGAGCGAACCAUUCUAAUGAAGCUUCUAUACUAUGAUGAUGCCACACCCGAGGAUUACAAGCCUCCCUUCUUUAAGGGUUGUGUUGAGAAUGAGGCCGUAAAUAUAUGGAACAAGAACCCCUUGAAGAUGGAAGUGGGGAAUGUCAAUAGCAAGCAUCUUGUGCUAGCUUUGAAGGUUAAGAGUGUCCUUGAUCCAUGUGAUGCUAACAGUGAUGAUGACAAGAUGAGCAUGGGUCAUGUGUCGGACCAAGAAGACUUUACGGACACCGAGACAACGAAUUUGCUCCGGAUUGCUAUAUACAACAUCAGCUACAUCAGAGGCCUAUUCCCUGAGAAGUACUUCAAUGAUAAGUCUGUUCCGGCACUAGAGAUGAAGAUUAAGAAGCUGAUGCCCAUGGAUGCUGAAUCCAGGAGGUUGAUUGAUUGGAUGGAGAAAGGUGUCUAUGAUGCCUUACAAAAGAAAUAUCUCAAUACCCUUCUCUUCUGUAUAUGUGAGAAGGAGGAAGGCCCAAUGAUUGAAGAGUAUGCCUUCUCAUUUAGCUACCCCAACACAAACGGGGAGGAAGUUGCAAUGAACAUGAGUCACACAGGGAGCAAAAAGAAUACUGCCACAUUCAAGUCAAAUGCAGCAGAAGUCACUCCUGAUCAGAUGAGGAGCUCUGCUUGUAAGAUGACCAGAACGCUGGCUUCAGUUAUGAGGGCCUUGGACCAAUUGCCCGAGGAGGCACUAUGCUUUGUUAAUGAAGUUGGCAUGGGGAAGCCAACCAAUGCACUCCCAGUGGAUAAUAGUGCCUGCAUUACAUUCUCCUUACCACUGAAACAAAAAGCAGGGGCAUCAGAUUCCGCGCCUUCUAAGCCACUAAGCGAAGCAAGAAAAGGGAAAGAAUCUUCUAACAUUGGCUCUGCAACAGAUGUUUCGCUAAGAAAGGCUGCUGCAAAUAGCUCCGCUGGAGAUGGAGAUGAUCCUAACAAAGGAAACACACCUGAUAUUUCCAAUAACGAUGCUGUUCCAUUCCGCACGCGGGUCAUUGCUGACUUGGCCGGGUUAGAUCCUGCUCAAGUAAUACUUAUCCUAGCUGACGCCGGUUCAAUGGAAGAAAUGAUACAGUUAUCAACAGUGGCAAAUGAAAGAGGAUUUAUAUUUGAAAGAACAGAGUCCUUGCAGCAUGUGUCCUUGAGAGUAUCAAUGGAUAGGUAUGUACAGGCGCAAGCUGGUCUACAAGAUGCAGUUGAGAACUUGGAUCCAGAUCAUAACCAACUUGAUGAAGAGGAAGAACAAGAUGAUGAUGAAGAAGAAGCUGCUCCUGCUCAGCAAGUAAAUGAAGAUGAAGUGCAAGAUGAUGAAGAAGCAGAUGAUGAUGAUGAUGAUGAUGAUGAUGAUGAUGAUGAUGAUGAUGAUGAUGAUGAAAUAAACUCCCAGGUUGCCGAUCCAGAUUACAUACCCGAAGAGUCACAGGGUGAAGAUGAUGAUGAUUGGUAUCUUGUGGAUCUUGAGGAAGAAGAAGCUGCUCCUGCUCAGCACGGAGAACAAACACAUGAAGCAGCAGCUCAUCAAGCAAAUGAAGAUGAAGCACAAGAUAAUGAAGAAGCAGAGGAAGAUGAUGAUGAUGAUGAUGAACCAGAUUCACAGCUUGCAGAUCCAGAUUAUAUGCCUGAAGAAGAAGAAGAAGAAGAAGAAGAACAAGAACAAGAUGAUGAUGAAGAAGAAGCUGCUCCUGCUCAGCAAGUAAAUGAAGAUGAAGUGCAAGAUGAUGAAGAAGCAGAGGAAGAUGAUGAUGAUGAUGAUGACGAAGAAGCUGCUCCUGCUCAGCAAGUAAAUGAAGAUGAAGUGCAAGAUGAUGAAGAAGCGCAGGAAGAUGAUGAUGAUGAUGAUGAAGAAGCUGCUCCUGCUCAGCAAGUAAAUGAAGAAGCUGCUCCUGCUCAGCAAGUAAAUGAAGAUGAAGUGCAAGAUGAUGAAGAAGCAGAUGAUGAUGAUGAUGAUGAUGAAAUAAACUCCCAGGUUGCCGAUCCAGAUUACAUACCCGAAGAGUCACAUGGUGAAGAUGAUGAUGAUUGGUAUCUUGUGGAUCUUGAGGAAGAAGAAGCUGCUCCUGCUCAGCACGGAGAACAAGCACAUGAGGCAGCAGCUCAUCAAGCAAAUGAAGAUGAAGCAUAA
Molecule: ribosomal RNA, 2274 nt
Filed under: Triticum aestivum (bread wheat)
Lineage: Eukaryota; Viridiplantae; Streptophyta; Magnoliopsida; Poales; Poaceae
Description: partial small subunit ribosomal RNA
Source: RNAcentral